AGCGAGAGUGAAAGGAAGGAGCUGGAGGAGAUGCUGUGAUAGGCCAGGGUAUCAGGGCAUGCAGGUGGCAUGGGCCAAGGGCAAGGUUUGGCUUUCCUUGGAGAGGAAAGGAAGUCACUGUUAGAUGAGCAGAGCUGUGAGUCAGCCUGAUGUGUUUGCAAGAUGGCUGUGGUAGAGGUCACCUUGAGAAUAGGCUUCCACAGAGGAAGGACAAACAUCGGAGCCUGGAUGAGUCAGUUUAAGAGUCUGAGUAGCCCGGCCUUCUGUACAUUGAUGGGUUCAUGCUUCCCUUCAUGAAGACACAGCAAACAGGUAGCCUGUAAUUGCUUCCGGCCAUGAAGAUAUAUACCUUUAAUUGUUGUGUAGGCUCAGAGAAAAAUUAUAAUUUGAACUUCAUUUAUCCCUUGGUUUUUCUUGUUUGGGACUCUUCCCCGGAUGAUGGCAAUAUCAUCAUGAUAAUUCUUACUAAAGCCUGAUAUAAACAAGUGAACAGUUAGUAAGUGUUCAUUCUAUACAAGAAGCUAAGUCCCCUCCAUUCUUGGCCUCCAUGUCCCCUGUGGAGGGGGGCGGCACAUCACAAUCUUUCUCCCACCAUCCAGUGGAGGACACAGAGGCUCCGAGUGUUUCAGUGAAGUCUACAAAGUAGCCUUACUCCGAGCUUCAGCAGGUGACGUGGCUGAGGGAGACCUCAGUGGAAGAUGGCGAGGAAUAUUGGAGUCCAAGAUGGGGAGCUGUUGGGAGGACGUUAGAACCAAUUCUCAACCCUAGAGGAGAAUUGCCUUGGGUCGUGACCCACAGGUUGAGAACCACUGCGUUGCAGCAGGUACUACCCAGUGAGGGAGUGACAAAACUCAGAAUCCCCCCCCCCCCGCCCCUCCUAUGGACCUUCACUUCCUUGUCAUUAUUGUCCCUUGUGACUCAAGUCAUGGAAAAAGUCAACAUGAGAGUUCUCUGGUCAAGGACAGCUCUUUCUUGUAUUUUCCAUCCUCCAGUUGAUGUCUAGCUACAAUGUUGAAGUUUGGGGCUGCUACGGAGACAGCUGCUCUGAAUGUUUGUACACAAGUCUUCUGUCUUCAGAUCUCUUCAUUUUUCUGGAUAUAAUGCUCAGCUUCAGGAGGACACAAAUCAAAAUAACGGAUGGCUGGGCCGCUUUAAUCUCCGCUUCUCACCCCUUCCCCUUUGAACUUGGUCACUGUCAUGUUCCUAAUCUCUGGAGAUUCUGCCUCUAUCCCUUUCAAGAGCCAUCGGCCCCAUCUCUUUGGUUUGGUCUCCUGGAUGUGGCAUAAAUAUUUCUGUCCCUUUG
This 1303-nucleotide long non-coding RNA is filed under the name Mus caroli (Ryukyu mouse). RNAcentral's name for it is "lncRNA (MGP_CAROLIEiJ_G0006175.1)". The record is from RNAcentral. Lineage: Eukaryota; Metazoa; Chordata; Mammalia; Rodentia; Muridae.